AACGGCCGCGGUAUUUUGACCGUGCAAAGGUAGCGUAAUCACCUGUCUUUUAAAUAAAGACCUGUAUGAAUGGCAAGACGAGGGUUUUACUGUCUCCUCCCCCCAGUCAAUGAAAUUGAUCUACCCGUGCAGAAGCGGGUAUAAAAACAUAAGACGAGAAGACCCUAUGGAGCUUUAGGCAUAUAUCAAAUAUGUAAAAAACCAAAUUUUUCCAAAUAGGCCUAAAAAAUGAGAAAAACAAGUAUUAAUGAUUAAGUGCCUUCGGUUGGGGCGACCACGGGGAAAAAUAAAACCCCCACAUGGAAUGGGAAAAAUAACCCUAAGCCAAGAAAAACACUUCUAAGCAACAAAAUUUUUGACCAAUAAACGACCCAGGGACACCAUCCCUGAGCAAUGAACCAAGUUACCCUAGGGAUAACAGCGCAAUCCUUUCCCAGAGCCCAUAUCAACGAAAGGGUUUACGACCUCGAUGUUGGAUCAGGGCAUCCUAACGGUGCAGCCGCUGUUAAGGGUUCG
This 516-nucleotide ribosomal RNA is filed under the name Conger erebennus. Its description in RNAcentral is "partial 16S ribosomal RNA". It matches the Rfam family "Bacterial large subunit ribosomal RNA", at positions 1926 to 2575 of the family's 2925-position model. The record is from RNAcentral. Lineage: Eukaryota; Metazoa; Chordata; Actinopteri; Anguilliformes; Congridae.